RNAcentral lists this ribosomal RNA (1413 nucleotides) under metagenome. Its description in RNAcentral is "bacterial SSU rRNA". It matches the Rfam family "Bacterial small subunit ribosomal RNA". The record is from RNAcentral.
UUGAUCCUGGCUCAGGACGAACGCUGGCGGCGUGCCCUNNCAUGCAAGUCGAGCGGACAGGUGGGAGCUUGCUCCUGAUGUUAGCGGCGGACGGUGAGUAACACGUGGGUAACCUGCCUGUAAGACUGAUAAUCCGAAACCGGGGCUAAUACGGAUGGUUGUUUGAACCGCAUGGUUCAAACAUAAAGGUGGCUUCGGCUACCACUUCAGGUGGACCCGCGGCGCAUUAGCUGGUUGGUGAGGUAACGGCUCACCAAGGCAACGAUGCGUAGCCGACCUGAGAGGUGAUCGGCCACACUGGGACUGAGACACGGCCCAGACUCACGGGAGGCAGCAGUAGGGAAUCUUCGCAAUGGACGAAAGUCUGACGGAGCAACGCCGCGUGAGUGAUGAAGGUUUUCGGACGUAAAGCUCUGUUGUUAGGGAAGAACAAGUACCGUUCGAACAGGGCGGUACCUGANUACCUAACCAGAAAGCCACGGCUAACCGUGCAGCCGCGGUAAUACGUAGGUGCAAGCGUCGGUAUUGGGCGUAAAGGCUCGCAGGCGGUUUCUUAAGUCUGAUGAAAGCCCCGGCUCAACCGGAGGGNGCUGAAAACUGAGGCAGAAGUGAGAGGAAUUCCACGUAGCGGUGAAAUGCGCAGAGAUGUGGAGGAACACCAGUGGCGAAGGCGACUCUGGUCUGUAACUGACGCGAGGAGCGAAAGCGNGGAGCGAACAGGAUUAGAUACCCUGGUAGUCCACGCCGUAACGAUGGUGCUAAGGGUUUCCGCCCCUUAGUGCUGCAGCUAACGCAUUAAGCACCCGCCUGGGAGUACGGUGCAAGACUGAAACCAAAAGUGACUGACGNGCACAAGCGGUGGAGUGGUUUACCUGAAGCAACGCGAAGAACCUUACCAGGUCUUGACAUCCUCUGACAAUCCUAAGAUAGGACGUCCCUUCGGUCAGAGUGACAGGUGGUGCAUGGUUGUCGUCAGCUGUGUCGUGAGAUGUUAGUCCGCAACGAGCGCAACCCUUGAUCUUAGUUGCCAGCAUUCAGUUGGCACUCUAAGGUGACUGCCGGUGACAAACCGGAGGAAGGUGGGAUGACGUCAANCAUCAUGCCCUUAUGACCUGGGCUACACGUGUACAAUGGACAGAACAAAGGGCGAAAACCGCGAGGUUAGCCAAUCCCGCAAAUCUGUUCUCAGUUCGGAUCGCAGUCUGCAACUCGACUGCGUGAAGCUGGAAUCGCUAGUAAUCGCGGAUCAGCAUGCCGCGGUGAAUACGUUCUCGGGCCUUGUACACACCGCCCGUCACACCGAGUUUGUAACACCCGAAGUCGGUGAGGUAACCUUUAGGAGCCAGCCGCCGAAGGUGGACAGAUGAUUGGGGUGAAGUCGUAACAAGGUAGCCGUAUCGGGAGGUGCGGCUG